RNAcentral lists this transfer RNA (66 nucleotides) under Hexostoma thynni. Its description in RNAcentral is "tRNA-Pro". The record is from RNAcentral. Lineage: Eukaryota; Metazoa; Platyhelminthes; Monogenea; Diclybothriidea; Hexostomatidae.
UAGAAUGUAGUUUAUAGUAGAACACUUGUUUUGGGGAUGAGAGGUCUUGUUAGUUAAGCUUUCUAA